Molecule: ribosomal RNA, 428 nt
Filed under: uncultured bacterium
Lineage: Bacteria
Description: partial 16S ribosomal RNA
Rfam family: Bacterial small subunit ribosomal RNA
Source: RNAcentral
GUGGGGAAUAUUGGGCAAUGGGGGAAACCCUGACCCAGCAACGCCGCGUGAGGGAAGAAGGUUUUCGGAUUGUAAACCUCUGUCCUUGGUGACGAAGGAAGUGACGGUAACCAAGGAGGAAGCCCCGGCUAACUACGUGCCAGCAGCCGCGGUAAUACGUAGGGGGCAAGCGUUGUCCGGAAUGACUGGGCGUAAAGGGCGUGUAGGCGGCCGAUUAAGUCUGGAGUGAAAGUCCUGCUUUCAAGGUGGGAAUUGCUUUGGAGACUGGUUGGCUUGAGUGCGGAAGAGGUAAGUGGAAUUCCCAGUGUAGCGGUGAAAUGCGUAGAGAUUGGGAGGAACACCAGUGGCGAAGGCGACUUAUUGGGCCGUAACUGACGCUGAGGCGCGAAAGCGUGGGGAGCGAACAGGAUUAGAAACCCGGGUAGUCC